GACAAGAAAUUUGGUGGUGUAACUAGGCCCGUUGAAAUUUGAGCGCGCGCCCACAAAUUGCGUAGGGCUCCCGCUCAACCCGCCAACCUUUGGUGCGUUUGAAUAUCCGUCGACUUCCCUUCUCGUUCAUGUCCUUCAGUACCUUUUUGUUUUCUGUGGAUACACGACCGUUACGUAACAUGCCGAUCACGAGCACCACAGGAAAUUUAUUAGUACGUUAGAUAUGUGCAGUAAUUUUAAUUAUUACUUCUUUAUAAUAAUAAUAAUAUUUUUUGGUGGGUGAUGUUUCUAUAUGCAUAUAUAAAAUUAAUUUUAACUGAAAUUUAAAUUCAUUACGGUCUGAAAAUGACCACUGGCCGGGAUGCUUCCAAGUCACCAUCACCUGACUCGAGAGAGAUCAAUCAAUCAAUCAAUCAUGACGGCGAACCUUGGCCAAGUGUUCGCGGCCGUUGACGGCAGCGAGAAGAGCGUGCAUUUGUGCUUUCAGAUUGGCGCUCGACAAACUCAAGACUUAAGCUCCGAUGCAUGCGCGAGACUCCGAUGAAACACAUGGCUUCUUCACCAUAUUCCACGUCCAAUCUCCGACGUCACUCGCUGCUGGCUGCAAUCUCGGCGCCAUCCCUUUCGAUUGGCCCAGUAAAAUUAUACGCAUUAGAACUACCGCUGCUCAGUUCACUCGAUCAUGAAUUUUUUUUUUGCCUUUAUGGUGGUUUGGAGGUUCCAGCCUUCACUGCGGCGAUCGAGGUGCAUUAGAAGCAGAUACCAAUGCAUUGAGGAUUUACCGCCAAACAAAAUAUCAUAUUAGCUAUCACUUACAAGUGGUUAUGGGGGAUCCAAAGGAGAAGAUUUGUGAAGAAUCUGCGGAUGAUUUGCUUGUGAUGCUUUCGGCCCUAUUAAGAGGAAUAUUAUUGGGAAGUGCCACACAAUUUCCUGUCAUUAUAGUCAAGGUCAAGACUGCUUCGUCGUUAAUGGAAGAGGUAUGCUUAUGAAUUCUCAGUUUGCAUAAAUCAUAAUUGCAGCAUUUCAAGUCUAUAACUUUUCAAUUUGUGCGUCAUCUUUGUCUUAGCAAUGCUUUUAUGUAUAUCUGUUCCAUCUUAUGAUAUAUUUAUUCAAUCUUGGAUGACUCUUGGAAAAUAACCUCCAAGACACGUUGUUUGCUUUGAGUCCAGUGGUGCUUAUACCAUGCAGUCAUGUAUGCUUCAUUAAUUAUAAAAAUGCAACAUAAAUGAUGGAUCUAUGGUGUAAAUACAUUUGGUUUUAUGUGGGUCCCACGAUCCGGUCUAGACAAAAUACUCAAUAUGUAACUGUGUGUCUUCUGUGUGUGUACAUAUAGCUGUACCACUCCUUGUCUCCUCACCUCAUUUGCUGGAGAUGCUUGUGUUAUAUAGGCCUAAUUGACCAAAAUGGCUCAGCCAUGGGCGGCAACUGCCGGUUCGCAUGCAUCCAAUUUGAACUGGCCUUGGUUCCAAACAGUUUCAAGUUCAAAACAGUUCCGGUUAUGGUCCCAUCCUAAUUUGAUUUAAAAAAAAAAAACUGUAUUAAUAUUUACACAUUAUAAUACAUAAAUUUAUAAAAUUUAGAGUUACAAUAUAUCAUUAUUCUAUGUAUAUUAUCAAAAUUAGAGGAACAAAUUAACCAAUAUAAAUAAAAUAAAACAAAUCAAAAAAUUUAAAUCGGGCCAAUUUUGGUCCUGGUUCAAGGAUGGAGGAACUGAAACUGGCCCCCAAGUAUGUGGUUUCCGUUUGGUACAGGAACUGAAUUCGGACUGUGGGCAGGACUAAUCCAAAGCGUAGAACUUUUUAUAAAAAUUUUUUUUGAUAAAAAUUGGUUAUAAUUAUAGCCAACUAGUCUUUUUUUUAUUUUAUUUUUAUGAGAAAGAAAUUUUAUUAAUCAUCAGAAUUUAAAAAAUAAAUUCUAAUUUUUUCUAUCCGGCCCCUCACCCUUUCUCCCCUCAUUAAUCCCACCACCCCCCCCCCCCCCAAAAAAAAAAAAAUCUCUCCGUCUCUCUCUCCCUUUCUCUUAGUAAAGGCCUCCUUAGAACAUCCUAAUCCUAUAAUCAAGUAACAAACUCACCACCCAAGGAUUCAGAAGAAUCAAUAGACAUGAACAUGAUAUUUUCAACUUUGGUCUUGGUGUCCUUAUCAUGUCUGUGAUUGCAGGACCCUUGGCCUUGUAAACCAGCAGCAACGAUAUAUAUGUAUAUAUAAAUAUAUCCAAUUUUUUUACCAGCUGGCUAAAAUUGCCAAAAUUAAGUUGUUAAAAUUGAAAAAGAAAGGCAUAAAUAUUUAGAUUUUUUUGGUCGUUAGGACGUUCAAAAUUUAGUCUCAUCUCUUAUCAUGGGCUUUAUCUUUUGUCUAAUUUUGAUCAAAUCUAGUUGUUUUUAUGGAGUUCUUUUGGAUGCUUGACAAAUGCUGCCCUCUUGAUAUAUACGUAGUCAUUUCAGUUGCCAUCGAAUCUUUGGAAAUGAGUGCUUUCCAUAAUCACUGAUGAGGGCUUCAGAUGUGAUCACAAACAACUUGUAGCCACAAUGUUGCAAAGCUUUCACUUAUAUGUACUGGAUGUAAAGUAGUGU
This is an RNA transcript of Manihot esculenta (cassava), 2572 nucleotides long. RefSeq lists it as uncharacterized. The record is from RefSeq and is a predicted model, not a curated record. NCBI's taxonomy places the organism in Eukaryota, Viridiplantae, Streptophyta, Magnoliopsida, Malpighiales, Euphorbiaceae. The transcript has 4 exons.